Molecule: ribosomal RNA, 354 nt
Filed under: uncultured bacterium
Lineage: Bacteria
Description: bacterial SSU rRNA
Rfam family: Bacterial small subunit ribosomal RNA
Source: RNAcentral
GGGCUCUUCGGAGCUAGUGGCGGACGGGUGAGUAACGCGUGAGAAUCUGCCUCCAGGUCUGGGACAACAGAAGGAAACUUCUGCUAAUCCCGGAUGAGCCCUUGGGUAAAAGAUAAAUUGCCUGGAGAUGAGCUCGCGUCUGAUUAGCUAGCUGGUGUGAUAAAAGCAUACCCAGGCGACUAUCAUAUAGCUGGUCUGAGAGGAUGAGCAGCCGCACUGGGACUGAGACGCGGUCCAGACUCCUUCCGGAGGCAUGAGAGGGGAAUUUUCCCCAAUGGGCGAAGGCCUGACGGAGCAAGACCGCUUGGGGGAGGAAGGCUCUAGGGUUGUAAACCCCUUUUCUUUGGGAAGAAG